CAGCCGUAAACUAUGCGCGUUAGGUGUAUCGGUGACCACGAGUUACCGAGGUGCCGAAGGGAAACCGUGAAACGUGCCGCCUGGGAAGCACGGUCGCAAGGCUGAAACUUAAAGGAAUUGGCGGGGGAGCACCACAACAGGUGGAGCCUGCGGUUUAAUUGGACUCAACGCCGGGAAGCUCACCGGAUAGGACAGCAGAAUGAUUGCCGGGCUGAAGACUCUGCAUGACUAGCUGAGAGGAGGUGCAUGGCGUAGUCGUGU
RNAcentral lists this ribosomal RNA (261 nucleotides) under uncultured archaeon. Its description in RNAcentral is "partial 16S ribosomal RNA". It matches the Rfam family "Archaeal small subunit ribosomal RNA", at positions 748 to 1009 of the family's 1478-position model. The record is from RNAcentral.